GUACACUCCUACGGGAGGCAGCAGUGGGGAAUUUUGGACAAUGGGGGCAACCCUGAUCCAGCAAUGCCGCGUGAGUGAAGAAGGCCUUCGGGUUGUAAAGCUCUUUUGUCAGGGAAGAAACGGUGGUGGCGAAUAACUACUACUAAUGACGGUACCUGAAGAAUAAGCACAGGCUAACUACGUGCCAGCAGCCGCGGUAAUACGUAGGGUGCAAGCGUUAAUCGGAAUUACUGGGCGUAAAGCGUGCGCAGGCGGUUGUGUAAGUCAGAUGUGAAAUCCCCGGGCUCAACCUGGGAAUUGCAUUUGAGACUGCACGGCUAGAGUGUGUCAGAGGGGGGUAGAAUUCCACGUGUAGCAGUGAAAUGCGUAGAUAUGUGGAGGAAUACCGAUGGCGAAGGCAGCCCCCUGGGAUAACACUGACGCUCAUGCACGAAAGCGUGGGGAGCAAACAGGAUUAGAUACCCGGGUAGUCCCA
This 475-nucleotide ribosomal RNA is filed under the name uncultured organism. RNAcentral describes it as "partial 16S ribosomal RNA". It matches the Rfam family "Bacterial small subunit ribosomal RNA", at positions 331 to 797 of the family's 1533-position model. The record is from RNAcentral.